AAAUCCGCUAAGGAGUGU
This 18-nucleotide small nuclear RNA is filed under the name Arabidopsis thaliana (thale cress). RNAcentral describes it as "snRNA_19229". The record is from RNAcentral. Lineage: Eukaryota; Viridiplantae; Streptophyta; Magnoliopsida; Brassicales; Brassicaceae.